GCUUGUCUCAAAGAUUAAGCCAUGCAUGUCUAAGUACAAGCCUCAGUAAGGUGAAACCGCGAAUGGCUCAUUAAAUCACACCUAAUCUACUGGAAAGUUACUAGUUACUUGGAUAACUGAGGUAAUUCUUGAGCUAAUACAUGCGAAAAAUCUCGACUCACGGAGAGAUGCUUUUAUUAGAUCAAAACCAAACGGCUUCGGCCGUCUCAUUGGUGAUUCAUAAUAACUUGACGAAUCGUAUUGCUUUUUAAGCUGACGAUGAUUCAUUCAAAUUUCUGCCCUAUCAACUGUGAUGGUAAGGUCUUGGCUUACCAUGGUGACAACGGGUGACGGGGAAUUAGGGUUCGAUUCCGGAGAGGGAGCCUGAGAAACGGCUACCACUUCUAAGGAAGGCAGCAGG
RNAcentral lists this ribosomal RNA (400 nucleotides) under uncultured fungus. Its description in RNAcentral is "partial small subunit ribosomal RNA". It matches the Rfam family "Eukaryotic small subunit ribosomal RNA", at positions 30 to 432 of the family's 1831-position model. The record is from RNAcentral. Lineage: Eukaryota; Fungi.